Molecule: ribosomal RNA, 465 nt
Filed under: Vreelandella stevensii
Lineage: Bacteria; Pseudomonadati; Pseudomonadota; Gammaproteobacteria; Oceanospirillales; Halomonadaceae
Description: partial 16S ribosomal RNA
Rfam family: Bacterial small subunit ribosomal RNA
Source: RNAcentral
CCUACGGGAGGCAGCAGUGGGGAAUAUUGGACAAUGGGGGCAACCCUGAUCCAGCCAUGCCGCGUGUGUGAAGAAGGCCCUCGGGUUGUAAAGCACUUUCAGUGAGGAAGAACGCCUGGUGGUUAAUACCCAUCAGGAAAGACAUCACUCACAGAAGAAGCACCGGCUAACUCCGUGCCAGCAGCCGCGGUAAUACGGAGGGUGCGAGCGUUAAUCGGAAUUACUGGGUGUAAAGCGCGCGUAGGUGGCUUGAUAAGCCGGUUGUGAAAGCCCCGGGCUCAACCUGGGAACGGCAUCCGGAACUGUCAAGCUAGAGUGCAGGAGAGGAAGGUAGAAUUCCCGGUGUAGCGGUGAAAUGCGUAGAGAUCGGGAGGAAUACCAGUGGCGAAGGCGGCCUUCUGGACUGACACUGACACUGAGGUGCGAAAGCGUGGGUAGCAAACAGGAUUAGAUACCCCGGUAGUC